GUGGGGAAUAUUGGACAAUGGGGGAAACCCUGAUCCAGCAAUGCCGCGUGAAUGACGAAGGCCUUAGGGUUGUAAAGUUCUUUCACCUGUGAAGAUAAUGACGGUAGCAGGAGAAGAAGCCCCGGCUAACUCCGUGCCAGCAGCCGCGGUAAGACGGAGGGGGCUAGCGUUGUUCGGAAUGACUGGGCGUAAAGGGCGCGUAGGCGGUUUUUUAAGUGAGGCGUGAAAGCCCUGGGCUUAACCCAGGAGGUGCGUUUCAUACUGGAAGACUUGAGUACGAGAGAGGAAAGCGGAAUUCCUAGUGUAGAGGUGAAAUUCGUAGAUAUUAGGAAGAACACCAGUGGCGAAGGCGGCUUUCUGGCUCGUAACUGACGCUGAGGCGCGAAAGCGUGGGGAGCAAACAGGAUUAGAUACCCCUGUAGUCC
This 425-nucleotide ribosomal RNA is filed under the name uncultured bacterium. RNAcentral's name for it is "bacterial SSU rRNA". It matches the Rfam family "Bacterial small subunit ribosomal RNA", at positions 354 to 796 of the family's 1533-position model. The record is from RNAcentral.